This 622-nucleotide long non-coding RNA is filed under the name Oryza brachyantha (malo sina). Its description in RNAcentral is "long non-coding RNA (OBRA_LNC000656)". Lineage: Eukaryota; Viridiplantae; Streptophyta; Magnoliopsida; Poales; Poaceae. The record is from RNAcentral.
GUAGCUCAUCUAAAUUUGAUCAUUCAUAUUACCAUUUGGAUGACCAUCUAAAAUAGAUUAUCUUUUUAUAUCACUUAUCACUCCAAUGAACAUUCAUAUUACAUCAUUUAUAUAUAUAUUGCUAAUAUUUUUGCAACAAUUUUAUCUCAUGUUGUUAUUGCCCUCUCCUUUUAAGAUUGGAUAUUGAGAUAUGGAGUGAAGAUGGAGAAACUCCAAAUAUAAAAAAUGCUCUAUUUUUGAAGAGUGAGAUGAAGUAUCUACUGUAGCAACUUUUUUCUGAACGUCUUUUAUUUUCAAAAGGAAAAAGUACGAAUUACCUCCUGAACUAUCGUGGUCAGCCGAAUUACCCCCCUAAACCCGAAAACCAAACAUCCUUCACCCUAACUUUCAAUACUGGGCAAAUUACCCCUCUCAACCCAAUCCAAGGCGGUUUUGUCCUACGUGGCGUACACGUGGCAGCUCAGUCAGCAUUUUCUUUUUUUAACCAUGGGGCCCACAUGUCAUACCCUCCCUCUUCGGCCCUCUCCCUCCCUCCUCUCUCUCUCGGGCGAAUAGGGUGACGGUGGCGGGCGCUCAGCGCCGGCCAGGGACGACCGAAUGACGGGGUGGGCACGGCGAGCGG